CACAAAGCCAGCCCUGUGGUCUAGUGUUUAAGAUCCUGUGCUCUCACCACCGUGACCCGGCUUCCUCUCCUGGUCAGGGAACCAUAUCCCCUGUCUCUCGGUUGUCAUACUGUGGUGGCUGUGUGUUGAUGUCAUGCUGAGAGUUCUGCCACCUGGACUUCAAUACCAGCAGGGUCACCCAUGGAGGACAGGUGUCAGUGGAGCUGCCAGACCAAGACAGACAAGGAAGAAGGGCCUGGCCAGCACUUCUGAAAAAAUUUGCAAUGAAAACCCUGCAAAUAGCAGCAGAGCAUCAUCUGAUAUAGCGCGGGAAGGUGAGAGGAUGCACGGAGGCACUGGGCAGGGCUCCGCUCUGCUGCCCGCAGUUGUUGCUCGGUGCUGUAGAAACAAACACACACACUGUUCAUGCUCGGGAAUCCAUCGUCUAACAAGCGAGCUGCUUAGUCGUUUUUAUUGUACAAGCACGCAGUGAUUCUCACGUGAUGGCGCACGGAUGCCUCUGACCUUCCUUCAGGCGGCUCCCUGGACCUUCUUUCUGACAGGACCCUGAACUUGGCCAGUCCUUUUGUUCGCCGGGCCCAGUGUUGGUGACAAUCUGCUGCACCAGAUUCAGGGGAUCCCUCGGCUUUGGGAUCUGGUCAUGUCCCUCUCAGAGGGUUUCCCUCCACGCCUCGCCCACCCUGGGCUGCACGUCUGCUCCGUCCCUGUGGUAUCGGGAAUUGAGUUACGUGUAAGGCUGAGAGUGGGGUUUCCUUAGACCAGUCCGUGCUCCAGGCUGCCCUCCUCAUGGGAGAUGGGGGCCUGGGGGAUGCUCAGGGGAGGUUCCCUCUGCUCCAGGCUUUCGGGGAUGGACAGCACAGACGGACAGAGCUGUACCAUCGUAGAAGGACAUGAGUGAUUUUCUGACAAGUUCUACAGCAGGAGAAAUACUAAAUGUACAUUCAGGGAGAGCAAAAUCAUUUCGUCAACGUAUUGCUCUCGUGUACUGAAAUUUCAAGCAGUGUUCUUCCUGAUUAGGGUGAAAUUUGGCCGACUUUAAAUGCUAGCAAUUUCUGAUUCAUACAUGCCCUUUCUAUAAAACCCCAUUCAAUAGAGUGCUGUGAAACACAGCUGCGGUGCCUGUGCAGAAAGCUACACUGAAAAUUGCAUUACGGAAGAAAGAAAACACAAAACACCCUCCCAGAGGAAGAGUUCUGUGCUGGCCGGCAGGAAACAGAGUUAGGAGGCGGUGAAUGGUCAGAUCCUUUCAAGUCCCAAAGGGAGGGAUGUUCAGCAGGUAUCCGGGGACCACUACGUGUUGGAUGUGGUGCUGUGUUCCAGAUGCAUCACGGAACAAAACGUGGCUCCUGUCCCCGGGCGCUGAUGGCUUCUGGACGAGAGCUUCGGUCAACUGAGCACCAGGAGGCAGGACCACUGAUAUCCCUUUGUCUCAGUGCUUAUCCCACUGAGAGACACAUGCUGUGAACUUAGUGAAUAUUCGCUCAACAGACAAAUAAGUCAGAGAGGAAAUUUAAGGAAGAGGGUGACAGAUUUCUACCCUAGAAGCAUCUCUUUGCUGCUGAGUGGGACGUGUGUUCAAGAAGUCGAAGGGACAGACAGGAGAAGUUCAAAGCCUGAUAUUCCAGGACUGAGACAAUGAGAAGAGUAACUGUGACAGGGAUGGAGAAAUAAGCUGCCGCCCGCCGAGUGGAAGCCCAGCUCUGGGUCACAGCACAUGGUCUUCACUCCAGAAAGCCACCGAAGGACGUUGGGUCCGUCUGCAGCAUAGCAUGCUGCAAUUUUAAGGUUCGAAGAGUCAUCCACUGUAAGCACUAUGGGAUUGCAGAGGACACGCACUUUCAUUUUACACCUGUAGUUUCUCUAAGGAGACCAGACAUUCCUGCAUCUCUCAUGAUAUGCAAACAUCACUGGAGGGCAUUGCCAAAAAUCGAGAAAAAAAGCUCUGAAUUUUGGGAGAACCAACUCCCAGUAUUUGUGCUUCACUGCGUGUGUAGAAACAGUGGCGGCUUCGGUCUUGGCCAAACAAAGGUGGCAGGUGCUCGCUACUCCCGUCGAGCGUGGCUCAGAAGCACACGGAGGUCUGAGCUCAAAGCUGUCAUGGCAGAGUCGUCACGAACUUGCUGAGACCGAGGGGAAGGGAGCCCCACCUCAGGGUGGGCGGCCCGGGUCAGUGCCCCCCACCCCAGAUGAGCACGGGAUGAUCACAGGAAGGAGGGAGCAUUUCUAAGAUCUAGUCCUGUGCUCAUCACCUCAUGUCUUGUUCACUCGUUACUGAUGUUGGG
This is a long non-coding RNA of Equus caballus (horse), 2282 nucleotides long. The record is from Ensembl. NCBI's taxonomy places the organism in Eukaryota, Metazoa, Chordata, Mammalia, Perissodactyla, Equidae.